RNAcentral lists this ribosomal RNA (494 nucleotides) under uncultured bacterium. Its description in RNAcentral is "partial 16S ribosomal RNA". It matches the Rfam family "Bacterial small subunit ribosomal RNA", at positions 29 to 523 of the family's 1533-position model. The record is from RNAcentral.
AAUGAACGCUGGCGGCGUGCUUAACACAUGCAAGUCGAGCGAAGCACUUAAGUUUGAUUCUUCGGAUGAAGACUUUUGUGACUGAGCGGCGGACGGGUGAGUAACGCGUGGGUAACCUGCCUCAUACAGGGGGAUAACAGUUAGAAAUGACUGCUAAUACCGCAUAAGACCACAGUACCGCAUGGUACAGUGGUAAAAACUCCGGUGGUAUGAGAUGGACCCGCGUCUGAUUAGGUAGUUGGUGGGGUAACGGCCUACCAAGCCGACGAUCAGUAGCCGACCUGAGAGGGUGACCGGCCACAUUGGGACUGAGACACGGCCCAGACUCCUACGGGAGGCAGCAGUGGGGAAUAUUGCACAUGGAGGAAACUCUGAUGCAGCGACGCCGCGCGAAGGAUGAAGUAUUUCGGUAUGUAAACUUCUAUCAGCGGGGAAGAAAAUGACGGUACCUGACUAAGAAGCCCCGGCUAACUACGUGCCAGCAGCCGCCGUAA